CACGGAAUUAGCCGGUCCUUAUUCUAAGGCUACAUGCAACAGGGCACGCGUGCCCCUCUUUAUUCACCUUAAAAAGCAGUUUACAACCCAUAGGGCCGUCGUCCUGCACGCUACUUGGCUGGUUCAGGCUCUCGCCCAUUGACCAAUAUUCCUCACUGCUGCCUCCCGUAGGAGUUUGGACCGUGUCUCAGUUCCAAUGUGGGGGACCUUCCUCUCAGAACCCCUACUGAUCGAUGCCCCUGGUGGGCCGUUACCCCGCCAGCAAGCUAAUCAGACGCAUCCCCAUCCAUAACCGAUAAAUCUUUACUCUUAUUCCCAUGACAGGCAUAAGAGACCAUAAGGGAUUAGGCCGCAUUUCUACGGGGUAUUCCUUAGUUAUGGGAAGGUUGGAUACGCGUUACUCACCCGUGCGCCGGUCGACGACAAAGAAUAGCAAGCUAUUCUCCCGUUCCCCUCGACUUGCAUGUGUUAAGCCUGUAGCUAGUCGUUCACGUUCCUGUACGCC
This 505-nucleotide ribosomal RNA is filed under the name uncultured Prevotellaceae bacterium. RNAcentral describes it as "partial 16S ribosomal RNA". The record is from RNAcentral. Lineage: Bacteria; Pseudomonadati; Bacteroidota; Bacteroidia; Bacteroidales; Prevotellaceae.